This 330-nucleotide ribosomal RNA is filed under the name Triticum aestivum (bread wheat). RNAcentral's name for it is "partial small subunit ribosomal RNA". Lineage: Eukaryota; Viridiplantae; Streptophyta; Magnoliopsida; Poales; Poaceae. The record is from RNAcentral.
AUGGACGCACGGAUGAGGCUGAUAAUUCAGGCAUCAGCACUGAUAAGUGUGAUUCAGGCAUGGGUCAUGUUCAUGCACCAGAGAGCUGUUCGUCGGAGACCUUUGAUCCGCUAUGGUCCAUUGUUUAUCCGGGAACAGGAGAGGAUCCAAAAUCUGAACUACAUCUACAACUGCAAUGACGUCGAGGCUCUGUGGAUGCUUCGAAUGAAAAGAGCGCCAUUUGCCAGGCUUGUCGAGACCUUCAGGUGCAGAGGGCUGCUACAAGAUAACAUUAACACCAGUGUGGAAGAGCAAGUGGCCAUGUUCCUCCAUGUUGUUGGCCAUAACUAG